RNAcentral lists this ribosomal RNA (273 nucleotides) under uncultured bacterium. Its description in RNAcentral is "partial 16S ribosomal RNA". It matches the Rfam family "Bacterial small subunit ribosomal RNA", at positions 524 to 796 of the family's 1533-position model. The record is from RNAcentral.
UACGGAGGGUGCAAGCGUUAUCCGGAUUCACUGGGUUUAAAGGGUGCGCAGGCGGAUUUGUAAGUCAGUGGUGAAAGCCCCGGGCUCAACCUGGGAAUUGCCGUUGAUACUGCAAGUCUUGAGUGCAGUUGAGGUGGGCGGAAUACAUCAUGUAGCGGUGAAAUGCUUAGAUAUGAUGUAGAACACCGAUUGCGAAGGCAGCUCGCUAAACUGCAACUGACGCUCAGGCACGAAAGCGUGGGUAUCAAACAGGAUUAGAAACCCCAGUAGUCC